This 344-nucleotide ribosomal RNA is filed under the name Sarda sarda (Atlantic bonito). Its description in RNAcentral is "partial 12S ribosomal RNA". It matches the Rfam family "Bacterial small subunit ribosomal RNA", at positions 794 to 1384 of the family's 1533-position model. The record is from RNAcentral. Lineage: Eukaryota; Metazoa; Chordata; Actinopteri; Scombriformes; Scombridae.
GCCUAGCCGUAAACAUUGAUAGAUCUAUCCGCCUGGGUACUACGAGCAUUAGCUUGAAACCCAAAGGACUUGGCGGUACUUUAGAUCCCCCUAGAGGAGCCUGUUCUAUAACCGAUGACCCCCGUUCAACCUCACCCUCCCUUGCCCGCCUAUAUACCGCCGUCGUCAGCUUACCCUGUGAAGGUCUAAUAGUAAGCAAAAUUGGCAUCGCCCAGAACGUCAGGUCGAGGUGUAGCGCAUGAGAGGGGAAGAAAUGGGCUACAUUCGCUCGAACACUGAAAGAAGGAGGAUUUAGCAGUAAGCGGAAAAUAGAGUGUUCCGCUGAAAUCGGCUCUGAAGUGCGU